UAUUGUUCUUAAACGAGGAAUCCCUAGUAAGCGUGAGUCAUCAGCUCACGUUGAUUACGUCCCUGCCCUUUGUACACACCGCCCGUCGCUACUACCGAUUGAAUGGUUUAGUGAGACCCUCGGAUUGAUAAUUGGGAACCGGAAACGGUACCCUCUUGUUAAAAAGUUGGUCAAACUUGGUCAUUUAGAGGAAGUAAAAGUCGUAACAAGGUUUCCGUAGGUGAACCUGCGGAAGGAUCAUUAAUAAGAUCGUCCGGGUAACCGGAAUUUGUAUAUAAAAACCAACACUUUUUAAUUAUAAUCUUUUUUAAAAUAAAUAAUUUUAAUAUUAAACAACUUUUAACAACGGAUCUCUUGGUUCUCGCAUCGAUGAAGAACGCAGCUAAGUGCGAUAAGUAAUGUGAAUUGCAGAAUUCCGCGAAUCAUCGAAUCUUUGAACGCAAAUUGCACUCUUUGGUAUUCCUGAGAGUAUACUUGCUUGAGGGUCAGUGAAAUAGUUAUCGUGAUAUAUUUUUUUAUCGCGGAUUUGAGCAAUAAUCCGAUUAUAUAUAUUUCGGUUGCUUUAAAUUUAAAAUAACAUGGUAUAAUGUUUUAAGAUGUACUAUUUAAAAGAUGGAUCAUUGAUGACUUUAUACCGAAUAUUAUGUGAAUUCUUUUUUUUUAAAGAGGUAACAUAUAUUUUUUAAGUUUUGACCUCAAGUCAAGUAAGAGUACCCGCUGAACUUAAGCAUAUCAAUAAGCGGAGGAAAAGAAACUAACAAGGAUUCCCUUAGUAACGGCGAGUGAAGUGGGAAAAGCUCAAAUUUUAAAUCUGUCUUGGUGAAACCAGGCAGAGUUGUAAUUUGAAGAAACGUAUUCAACGUCAUGGAAUGAUCAAAAUCCUUUGGAAAGAGGUAUCAUGGAGGGUGAUAAUCCCGUUCAUGGUCAAACCAGAAGCGUUACCUAUGCGUUUUCUAAGAGUCGAGUUGUUUGGGAUUGCAGCUCAAAAUGGGUGGUAAAUUUCACCUAAGGCUAAAUAUUUGCGAGAGACCGAUAGCGAACAAGUACCGUGAGGGAAAGAUGAAAAGAACUUUGAAAAGAGAGUCAAAAGUACGUGAAAUUGUUAAAAGGGAAACGAUUGAAGUCAGUCAUGCUUGCAAGUAAUCAGCUUAAGGUAUUCUUUAAGUGUACUUUCUUGUCUAGCAAGUUAGCGUCGAUUUUAAUUAUCUUAAAAUAACUAGGGGAAUGUAACUCCCUCGGGAGCGUUAUAGCCCUUGGUAAGAUGAGAUGAUUGAGAUCGAGGAUUGCAGCGAAUGCUCAUUAGGGCUAGCAACUUAAUCUCUGAAUGGCCCCUGGUUAUAAACAGCUUGCUGAUUAUGAUUAGGUUAGCUUAUCAAAAGGUUUAGUUUGCUUAAAUUCGUUAAGGAUGCUGACGUAAUGGCUUUAAACGACCCGUCUUGAAACACGGACCAAGGAGUCUAACAUAUAUGCGAGUGUUU
Molecule: ribosomal RNA, 1478 nt
Filed under: uncultured Glomeromycotina
Lineage: Eukaryota; Fungi; Glomeromycota
Description: eukaryotic LSU rRNA
Rfam family: Eukaryotic large subunit ribosomal RNA (bases 691-1478)
Source: RNAcentral